AGGGAAGAGGAAAGGUGGCCUGCUGCUCUGGGACCCUUCAGCUGUCAGGCUCGCGUUUCCCAAGGUGGACGCUCCUCCCACCCCAGUCUCUCUGCCUGGUGGGACGCUGCUUAACAGAACUGCCCAGGUUCCAAGGGGCAUUGCUCCUCUCCAGCACCUGGGGCUCCCAGCAAGAAGGCCCUCACUAGACGUGGCCCCUGGAGCCUGGACUUCACAAGCUCCAGUAUCRUGAGUCAACUACCAAGAUGUGCAGGAAUUCUAAUGGACCUUCAGGCAAAUUGCCUCUCCCCACUCUCCUGUGGCUCCGGAUAGCACACCCCAAAUCCUCUCAGACCACACAUCCUGGUGUGGAGUUCUCCCGCAGCCCGAUGGGCUGGACAAUAUCUUGGCGGCUUCAGAUGGAUCCAAAGAGCACAACAACUUAAG
This is a long non-coding RNA of Urocitellus parryii (Arctic ground squirrel), 426 nucleotides long. RefSeq lists it as uncharacterized. NCBI's taxonomy places the organism in Eukaryota, Metazoa, Chordata, Mammalia, Rodentia, Sciuridae. The record is from RefSeq and is a predicted model, not a curated record.